Molecule: ribosomal RNA, 253 nt
Filed under: uncultured bacterium
Lineage: Bacteria
Description: partial 16S ribosomal RNA
Rfam family: Bacterial small subunit ribosomal RNA
Source: RNAcentral
UACGUAGGGUGCAAGCGUUGUCCGGAAUUAUUGGGCGUAAGGAGCUCGUAGGCGGUCUGUCGCGUCUGCUGUGAAAACUCGGGGCUUAACCCCGGGCCUGCAGUGGGUACGGGCAGACUAGAGUGCGGUAGGGGAGACUGGAAUUCCUGGUGUAGCGGUGAAAUGCGCAGAUAUCAGGAGGAACACCGGUGGCGAAGGCGGGUCUCUGGGCCGUAACUGACGCUGAGGAGCGAAAGCAUGGGGAGCGAACAGG